RNAcentral lists this ribosomal RNA (254 nucleotides) under uncultured bacterium. RNAcentral's name for it is "partial 16S ribosomal RNA". It matches the Rfam family "Bacterial small subunit ribosomal RNA", at positions 524 to 776 of the family's 1533-position model. The record is from RNAcentral.
UACGGGAGAUGCAAGCGUUAUCCGGAUUUAUUGGGUUUAAAGGGUGCGUAGGCUGUGAGGUAAGUCAGCGGUGAAAUGCCCCCGCUCAACGGGGUGAAGUGCCAUUGAUACUGCCUUGCUGGAAUGCGGAUGCCGUGGGAGGAAUGUGUGGUGUAGCGGUGAAAUGCAUAGAUAUCACACAGAACACCGAUUGCGAAGGCAUCUCACGAAUCCGCGAUUGACGCUGAUGCACGAAAGCGUGGGUAUCAAACAGG